UCUGCAGCUAGAGAAAAACAAAAAGAGUUGAGGGACAUCGGUGGGGAACACUGGAAUGAGCAGAAUUCUGUUUACAUUCCAUAUAUGACAAUUUAUUUUUUAAAUAAAAGCAAAAAGCCAAAGUCUCAUCAGAUGCUUUGGCCAUGAGCAACUGAAAUUCUGCAGCCAAUUGUGCUCCCUGAGGAUCACAAGGGUGUUACAGAAAGGGUAAGAACUAGUUCUGGCUUUUCAGAGGAACAAGACACUACUGCAGUGGAGCCCCAAAAGUGAAGCAAUAAAGAAAGUGUCCAUUAUCAAAACUGUGACCCUUAAACAUUAGGUAAACCCAAAAUCAAUACUGGAGCUCACUGUGCCCUCUUUGACCUCUGGGCUGUUACUCAUUAGAUGGGUGGCUGGAAACACCCCCAGACAUGGGGCUGGAGGAGAAAUUCCAGAUUUUGUUCUUGCAUGGUUGCUCUUCCUGCCCUUCUGAUUCUCCCUUUAAAUUCUGGGUGAAUUGAGCCAGACCUGCAUUAGAAGCAGGUCACAAACCAUGACAGGUCAGUGUUUUUAAUGCUCCAGAGGCCCUUCAGCAGGCCCACUGCUCCCACAGCCACGUCCCUGCAGGGACUGUCCUUCCUCUGGUCUCAUUUCAGCACCACAACAACUCCAGAAGCUUCUCCAGCCAGAGCCCUGUGCUGUACCUCUGCCUGCCUGCUCACAAAGCACAGCCCCUCCUUGUUCUCCAGCUUCACUGUGGAUGGAUCUGCAAACACAGAGGAGUCUGGGUUAGUGCUGCACUCAGCCGUGCAGGGUCUGCUGUCUGUCCUGGCCCCCAGGGGAGCUCUGACUCUGACCCUCACUCAUGGAGAAAGUUUCCCAGACUUCAAGAUAGACUGGAAUCCACAAAAGUGUGAAAUGGAUUAUAGACAGCAGUGUAGGCGCAUCACUGGGUGAGAAAUUUACCAAGUAAAAAUUCUCACCAAGUAUUUGUGAAAUAAAUACUCACAAAUUGAGUUGAGUAAAUUUGUGAGUUGUGAGUAAAAAGCCCAUAAAUGUGCCGAGCACAAAACAUUCAGUUACAACCCCUUUUCUCAUCCCUUCCCAUGGGAUAGGGGGUGUUGGUGUGUUCUGGGAGCAGGGAAUGCCACCAGCUCCUCUUGGGAUUUUAAUUCACACAGUUGCAAUAUUCCUACAGACAGGGUUUAUCCUGCAUGGAAACUGAAGGAGAAGGAUGCAGCUGCUUCUGGGGGAUCACAGCUGGAGCAUGAAAUGGAAGGAAAGGUGUUUUACAGGAGCUGAUCUGAGCCAGGAAUGGUGAAAGCAGAGCUCGUUACAAGAGUCAACAGUUUCACUGCUCUUUUGCAAUGAAAAUUGGAGGAGAGUCAGGAUUUCAGGAGGCCAGCCUGAGGUGGCAUGGCACAUUGCACUCCAAGCUUUGAACAAAAGGGAGAAAGGUCUCAAAAUGGAUUCUGCCUUUAGUGCUGCAGGUAGAUCAGAGAAUCGUGGAAUCCCAGAAUGGUUUGAAUGAAACAAUGGAAUCCCAGAAUGGUUUGAAUGAAAUAAUGGAAUCCCAGAAUGGUUUGAAUAAAUCAUGGAGUCCCAGAAUCGUUUGAAUAAAAUCAUGGAAUCCUAGAAUGGUUUGAAUGAAAUAAUGGAAUCCCAGAGUGGUUUGAAUGAAACAAUGGAAUCCCAGAAUGGUUUGAAUAAAACAAUGGAAUCCCAGAAUGAUUUCAAUGAAAUCAUGGAAUCCCAGAAUGGUUUGAAUGAAAUCAUGGAGUCCCAGAAUGGUUUGAAUAAAAUCAUGGAGUCCCAGACUGGAAGGAACUUUAGUGCUCAUGCAGCUCCAUCCCCUGGAAUUGCACCUCCCAUGGGCAUGGACACCUUCCACUACCCCAAAUUGCUCCAAGCCUCAUCCAAGCUGGCCUUGGACACUUCCAGGGGUGGGGCAGCCACAGCUUCUCUGGGCACCCUGUGCCAGGGCAUCACCACCCUCACAGGGAAUGAAUUCUUCCCAAUAUCCCAUCCAACCCUGCCCUCUGGCAGUGGGAAUCCAUUCCCCCUUGUCCUGGCACUCCAGGGUGUCUCCACCUUCCUUGUCAGCUCCCCUCAUGUACAGGGAGGCCACAGGCAGCUCAUGGAUUGGAUGAGCUGCUCUGCUCUGUAUUCUCUGGAAAGUUUCCAUGAUGACUUUGGAAACUGGAGUGUCAGGAUUUACCUACAGAACUAAAGGGAUCAGGCACUGCGUGUGAGCAACAUUCAGAGAAAGAAAGAACAAAAGAAAAAAAGGAGCAGGGUUGGCUCUUUGUGGUGCCUCUGGAUUUAUCUGGCACAGAGAACAAGAACCCAGAAGCAGAGGGGCUCUGCUGUGGGGCUCUUGGGUCACUUGCAGAGCUGCUUUGGCACCAGCUGUGCCCUGAACAGCAUUGUCCAGGCUCGUGGGGGACAGAAGGUGACACUCCUUACUCCCAAUGCAGUUGAUUAUGGCCUCCUCAGCCUUGUGGAUGCCCAGCAGGAACUUGUGCAGGUCGGGGCGGAGCCUUCGGCCUCGGUGGUAAAACACCAGUGCAAACUCAAAGUCCCCCAUGGCAUACAGGCUCUCUGCUUUCUGGUAAAGCCCCUAAAAUGACAUUUGGGGGAAGAAAUUGAUAAAACGAGGGAAAGUUUUGAUGGAUCUCAAGUAACUCCUGUGUGAGAGCCCAGGGCUGUAACAGCUUGCUGUCACUGACAUAUUGUGUGAAAAAUCCUUUGGUUAGGAUUUUUCUCCUGAGAAGCUGGAGGCCUCAGGAACAAAAUGUAAACAAUGGUUAUCUGCUGCUGUGGAAUGCAACAGGUGCAUCUUUAAUUAGCCCAUGUUGGUUGUUUCUAAUUAAUGGCCAAUCACAGUCAGCUGGCUCGGACUCUCUGCUCAGUCACAAGAUUUUAUUAUCAUUCCUUCCUAUUCCUUUCAAGCCUUCUGAUGAAAUAAUUUCUUCUUUUCUUUUAGUAUAGUUUUAGUAUAUAAUUAUCUUUUAAUAUAUCAUAAAAUAAUAAAUCAGCCUUCUGAAACAUGGA
Long non-coding RNA from Melospiza melodia melodia, 3033 nucleotides. RefSeq lists it as uncharacterized. NCBI's taxonomy places the organism in Eukaryota, Metazoa, Chordata, Aves, Passeriformes, Passerellidae. The transcript has 2 exons. The record is from RefSeq and is a predicted model, not a curated record.